Molecule: small RNA, 101 nt
Filed under: Salmonella enterica
Lineage: Bacteria; Pseudomonadati; Pseudomonadota; Gammaproteobacteria; Enterobacterales; Enterobacteriaceae
Description: partial RtT sRNA
Rfam family: RtT RNA
About the family: This family represents a bacterial cis-regulatory element known as RtT RNA. The exact function of RtT is unknown although it is thought that it may be involved in changing the cellular response in relation to amino acid starvation.
Source: RNAcentral
CAAUUUAACAUCAAACUCAGAUGUUGAGCGUGAAGGAUAACGUUGCGUCAGCAACGGCCCGAAGGGCGAGGCGAAGCCGAGUCAUCCUGCACAACCCACCA